Manis pentadactyla (Chinese pangolin) is the source of this 689-nucleotide long non-coding RNA. RefSeq lists it as uncharacterized. The record is from RefSeq and is a predicted model, not a curated record. NCBI's taxonomy places the organism in Eukaryota, Metazoa, Chordata, Mammalia, Pholidota, Manidae. The transcript has 3 exons.
GAAGGAAGCACACUCUGGGGGCCGGACCUCCUUUGGCAGAGCUUUGUGGCCUUACAUCUUAGUAAACAGGGAGCACGAUCUUGCUUCUUUCACGCUUAGCUGGAGCAAUGGGAGAUCCAACAGCCUGGCAAGGGGCACAAGCCCUAGGACAGUGACAUCUUCUAUCCCAAGACCACAAAUUCUCAGAAAGCUGCCAAGUACUGGAGCCAGUAUGCUGGGGUUCCAGGCCCUGGCACCUGCAUUGCUGCUGCCUCCAUGGAUGGACUUGGCCAUGCAACACAGUGAUGAAAAAGCGAGGGUGUCACUGCAUGUACAGAAGAAGAGCAUCCUCAAGGCACAGGAGGGUGGACUUAGCCACAGCCAGGCACACUGAUUCUGCUUUGGAGGCCAAACAGGCUCAUUCACCAACACCAGCCCCCAAGUUGGGAGAGAGCCACGACACACCUGCUGUGCAAGCUAUCCUCUUGGUCACUCACAUUUGAUGUGCCAGAGGUACCUUCUUACCUGAAGGGAAAAUGCAAGAAGAUGGGAAGGGACCUGCAUGUUCCAGAUUCACAUGGAACUUGUCCUGGGAGGAGAAAACCCUUCCCCCCUCAAGCUACAGUUAAAUCAUCCACAGUGUGGCCCCAAAGUGCUGGGCACUGCACAGGAUGUCCCAGGAAUACAGACCCAACUCUCAAAGAGCUUCA